UGAACGCUAGCUACAGGCGUUAACACAUGCAAGUCGAGGGGCGAGCAUGAUCGAAGCUUGCUUGAUGAUGGCGACCGGCGCACGGGUGAGUAACGCGUAUCCAACCUUCCCUAUAGUAGAGGAUAGCCGACGAAAGUCGGAUUAAUACUCUAUGUUUUCCGUAAGCAGACAUCUAAUUUGGAACAAAGGUUCACCGCUAUAGGAUGGGGAUGCGUCUGAUUAGGUAGUAGGCGGGGUAACGGCCCACCUAGCCGACGAUCAGUAGGGGUUCUGAGAGGAAGGUCCCCCACAUUGGAACUGAGACACGGUCCAAACUCCUACGGGAGGCAGCAGUGAGGAAUAUUGGUCAAUGGGCGAGAGCCUGAACCAGCCCAAGUAGCGUGCAGGAUGACGGCCCUAUGGGUUGUAAACUGCUUUUAUACGGGGAUAAAGUGAGGGACGUGUCCCUUUUUGUAGGUACCGUAUGAAUAAGGACCGGCUAAUUCCGUGCCAGCCGCCGC
Molecule: ribosomal RNA, 500 nt
Filed under: uncultured bacterium
Lineage: Bacteria
Description: bacterial SSU rRNA
Rfam family: Bacterial small subunit ribosomal RNA
Source: RNAcentral